GGAGGCCUUAGCCCAGUGGCUGAGUGUCUGCCUUGUGUGCAGAAGGUCCCAGGUUCAAUCCCGCACGGCGUCUCCA
This is a non-coding RNA of Podarcis lilfordi (Lilford's wall lizard), 76 nucleotides long. The record is from the annotation of a GenBank genome assembly. NCBI's taxonomy places the organism in Eukaryota, Metazoa, Chordata, Lepidosauria, Squamata, Lacertidae.